UACGAAGGGGGCUAGCGUUGUUCGGAUUUACUGGGCGUAAAGCGCACGUAGGCGGGUCGUUAAGUCAGGGGUGAAAUCCUGGAGCUCAACUCCAGAACUGCCUUUGAUACUGGCGACCUAGAGUCCGGAAGAGGUGAGUGGAACUCCUAGUGUAGAGGUGGAAUUCGUAGAUAUUAGGAAGAACACCAGUGGCGAAGGCGGCUCACUGGUCCGGUACUGACGCUGAGGUGCGAAAGCGUGGGGAGCAAACAGG
Molecule: ribosomal RNA, 253 nt
Filed under: uncultured Devosia sp.
Lineage: Bacteria; Pseudomonadati; Pseudomonadota; Alphaproteobacteria; Hyphomicrobiales; Devosiaceae
Description: partial 16S ribosomal RNA
Rfam family: Bacterial small subunit ribosomal RNA
Source: RNAcentral